CAUGUAUAAACUUUUCUUUGAUAGAUAAUAAAUAUUUAAAACUAGUGAAUGGUGUUGCAACUUAAAUAAGACACCCUAAUGGAGAAGUGUGACAAAAUUCUUAGGUGAUUGCAAAAUAAAUUAUAAAUUGAAGGGAAAGUUCUGUAGCUUCAUGAUUUGACCAACUGUGAUGUAUGCAGUGACUAUUCGGCAGUAAAGAAAUGUG
RNAcentral lists this unclassified non-coding RNA (205 nucleotides) under Hevea brasiliensis (rubber tree). The record is from RNAcentral. Lineage: Eukaryota; Viridiplantae; Streptophyta; Magnoliopsida; Malpighiales; Euphorbiaceae.